Molecule: transfer RNA, 70 nt
Filed under: Marmota monax (woodchuck)
Lineage: Eukaryota; Metazoa; Chordata; Mammalia; Rodentia; Sciuridae
Description: tRNA.Ala
Source: RNAcentral
GGGCUGGGGCUCAGCGGUAGAGCACUUGCCUAGCAUGUAUAAGGCCCUGGGUUCGAUCCUCAGCACCACA